Molecule: small nuclear RNA, 148 nt
Gene: U1
Rfam family: U1 spliceosomal RNA
About the family: U1 is a small nuclear RNA (snRNA) component of the spliceosome (involved in pre-mRNA splicing). Its 5' end forms complementary base pairs with the 5' splice junction, thus defining the 5' donor site of an intron. There are significant differences in sequence and secondary structure between metazoan and yeast U1 snRNAs, the latter being much longer (568 nucleotides as compared to 164 nucleotides in human).
Source: Ensembl
AUACCUACCUGGUAGUAGAGAUGCAUUACUCAAGAAGGUUGUUCCCAGGAUGAGGAUUUGUCACUGGGCUUUGGUCUAUCAGACUUCUGUGAAGUCUUAAAUGUGCCUAAUUUCUGGUAGUGGGUGACUGUGUUUAUGCUCUCCCCUU